GACCUCGGAUCAGGUAGGGAUACCCGCUGAACUUAACAUUCAU
RNAcentral lists this ribosomal RNA (43 nucleotides) under Septoria tormentillae. RNAcentral describes it as "partial 28S ribosomal RNA". Lineage: Eukaryota; Fungi; Ascomycota; Dothideomycetes; Mycosphaerellales; Mycosphaerellaceae. The record is from RNAcentral.